Long non-coding RNA from Lycium ferocissimum, 1661 nucleotides. RefSeq lists it as uncharacterized. Lineage: Eukaryota; Viridiplantae; Streptophyta; Magnoliopsida; Solanales; Solanaceae. The transcript has 2 exons. The record is from RefSeq and is a predicted model, not a curated record.
UGACAUUUGUUAGAGACUUGUACAGCCUUGCUAUUUCAAUUCCAUGUUCCUAAAAGAUUUUGGGGGAAUCCCUUCUCACUGCCACAUACUUGAUUAAUGGAUUUCUUUCUAGGGUGCUUAAACAUAAGUCUCCAUAUCAAAAUAUUUUGCCACUCAACCUAAUUAUUCUUAUUUGAAGCCCUUUGGUUGUCCAUGUUUCGCUUCUACUCUAAAUAGAGGGAGAGACAAGCUUGAUCCUAGAGCUUUUCUGGGGUCUUUUUGAGUUAUCCCUUUGACAAGAAAGGAUGUAAGGUUUUGAACCUUCAAACUAAUCAAAUUUCCAUUUCCAUGGAUGUCAAAUUUGUUUGAGUCUAUUUUUCCGUUUUCCUCUACUUCUCCCUUGCCUAAAUUGUUUCCAGUUAAUACAUCUCCCAUUUCCCAUGACCUUGUUCUUUAGUUUCCUCACUUUGAUUUCCUCAUCCUUUUAUUCUCACUUCUAAUGCCACAACACCUGCUCCAGCACCAUCCUCUACCCCUUUUCUCCUAUUCUAUCUUCUUCUGCCCCUUCUCCCUCUCUUCCAAUCUCACAUAUUUCUCCACCCGCAGUGUUAUCUUAAGCUUCAGCACCAACUUUGCGCAGAACUGAAAGGGUAUGCAACCAAUCUGAGUACUGAGCAGAUUAUAUUUGUCAUACUGCAUAUAUUGUUCUCCAAACCCACCUCUUUUUCCUUUACAUUCUUUUUCUUUUUCUGCCUUGACACCAGCUAACCAAAACCUAUCUACUUUAAUAUGCCAAAUUCGUGAGCCAUAUUCUUACCAGCAGGCAACCCUGUAUCCUAGCUGGACUUCUGCCACGACGAAGGAAUAUGAUGUUUUAGCCUCCAACCAUACUUGGGAUGUGAUCACUUUGCCAGAGGAAAAAAGGUGUUGUUGCCUUGCAAAUGGGUACAAAGUUAAGAUUAAAUCAGAUGGAUCUCUUGAGCAUUUGAAAGCUCGAUUAGUUAUCCGGGGGGGCACUCAAAGAGAAGGGAUAGAUUAUACCCAAAUAUUAUCUCAUGGCAAAAAUGAAUAGCAUCCGCUGCCUUCUUAGUAUUGCAGUUAAAAAAGAGUGGAUCUUGCAUCAGUUUGAUGUUCACGAUGCCUUUCUCCAUGGCGACUUGGAUGAAAAGGAUUAUACUCAUUUUCCUUUUGGUCUUACUGCCCCUUCUUCUUCUUAUGUUUUCCAGCUAUGAAAAAUCUUUGUUUGGGCUUAAACAAGCCUCUCGACAGUGGUGGUGUGGUUGUUACCCAGAGGAAAUUUGCACUCAAGCUUCUCUCUGAGCUUGAUUGUGAGGAUGCUCAAUCUAUUUCGACUCCCUUGGAUCCAACUAUGAAGCUCACUUCAGAUUUUGGUACUCCUCUAGCUGAUCCGACCAUUUAUCGUCGCCUCAUUGGAAAGCUCAAUUUUUUAACCAAUAUGCGACCUGAUCUUUCCUUCACUGUUCAUACUUUGAGUCAGUAUAUGCAAUCUCUAUGUGAGCGCUAUUAUUAGGCUGCUCUUCGUACCUUGUGAUACCUCAGUCGCGACGCCUAGUCGCCGAGAUCACCUGGGUGGUGUGUCUUCUUCAUGAUUUUCCUUAUUGCCUUCACUACCUGUUUUGUUUAACUGGGAUAGUGAUGUGAUUCUUCGAGUUAACAAAGAA